ACUCAAAGGAAUUGACGGGGGUCCGCACAAGCGGUGGAACAUGUGGUUUAAUUCGACACUACGCGAGGAACCUUACCUGGGUUUGACAUGUAACUGCUACUGGUAGAAAUACUGGGUUCCGUAGCAAUACGGACGGUUACACAGGUGCUGCAUGGCUGUCGUCAGCUCGUGUCGUGAGACGUCGGGUUAAGUCCUUGAACGAGCGCAACCCUUGCCGUUAGUUGCUCGCCUGAAAGGGAAGCACUCUAGCGGGACUGCCGAGGAAACUCGGAGGAAGGUGGGGAUGACGUCAAGUCCGCAUGGCCCUUAUACCCAGGGCUACACACGUGUUACAAUGGCGAAAAACAGAGGGAUGCAAUGCCGCGAGGUGGAGCUAAUCCUAGAAAGUUCGUCUAAGUUCAGAUUGAAGUCUGCAACUCGACUUCAUGAAGUUGAAAUCGCUAGUAAUCGCAUAUCAGAACGAUGCGGUGAAUACGUUCUCGGACCUUGUACACACCGCCCGU
Molecule: ribosomal RNA, 503 nt
Filed under: uncultured bacterium
Lineage: Bacteria
Description: partial 16S ribosomal RNA
Rfam family: Bacterial small subunit ribosomal RNA
Source: RNAcentral